GACGAACGCUGGCGGCGUGCCUAAUACAUGCAAGUCGAACGCUUCUUUCUUAUCGGACUUCGGUUCACCAAGAAAGAGGAGUGGCGGACGGGUGAGUAACACGUGGGUAACCUGCCCUUUAGCGGGGGAUAACACUUGGAAACAGGUGCUAAUACCGCAUAAUCUUUUUUCUCGCAUGAGAGAAAAGUGAAAGACGCUUUUGCGUCACUAGAGGAUGGACCCGCGCUGCAUUAGCUAGUUGGUGAGGUAACGGCUCACCAAGGCGACGAUCAGUAGCCGGUCUGAGAGGAUGAACGGCCACAUUGGGACUGAGAUACGGCCCAG
Molecule: ribosomal RNA, 324 nt
Filed under: uncultured bacterium
Lineage: Bacteria
Description: bacterial SSU rRNA
Rfam family: Bacterial small subunit ribosomal RNA
Source: RNAcentral